Molecule: ribosomal RNA, 392 nt
Filed under: uncultured bacterium
Lineage: Bacteria
Description: bacterial SSU rRNA
Rfam family: Bacterial small subunit ribosomal RNA
Source: RNAcentral
GACGAACGCUGGCGGCGUGCUUAACACAUGCAAGUCGAGCGGUAAGGCCCUUUCGGGGGUACACGAGCGGCGAACGGGUGAGUAACACGUGGGUGACCUGCCCUCAGCUCUGGGAUAAGCCCGGGAAACUGGGUCUAAUACCGGAUAUGACUCCAUGACGCAUGUUGUGGGGUGGAAAGCCUUGUGCGGCUGAGGAUGGGCCCGCGGCCUAUCAGCUUGUUGGUGGGGUGAUGGCCUACCAAGGCGACGACGGGUAGCCGGCCUGAGAGGGCGACCGGCCACACUGGGACUGAGACACGGCCCAGACUCCUACGGGAGGCAGCAGUGGGGAAUCUUGCGCAAUGGGCGAAAGCCUGACGCAGCGACGCCGCGUGAGGGAUGACGGCCUGUGU